Molecule: transfer RNA, 57 nt
Filed under: Castor fiber (Eurasian beaver)
Lineage: Eukaryota; Metazoa; Chordata; Mammalia; Rodentia; Castoridae
Description: transfer RNA-Ser
Source: RNAcentral
AAGAAAGUACGCAAGAACUGCUAACUCAUGCCACCAUACCUAAAAUAUGGCUUUCUU